ACCUGGGUGGCUCAGUCGGUUAAGCGUCUGACUUCGGCUCAGGUCAUGAUCUUACGGUUCGUGGGUUCGAGCCCCACAUCAGGCU
RNAcentral lists this transfer RNA (85 nucleotides) under Felis catus (domestic cat). It matches the Rfam family "tRNA". From Rfam's summary of the family: Transfer RNA (tRNA) molecules are approximately 80 nucleotides in length. Their secondary structure includes four short double-helical elements and three loops (D, anti-codon, and T loops). Further hydrogen bonds mediate the characteristic L-shaped molecular structure. tRNAs have two regions of fundamental functional importance: the anti-codon, which is responsible for specific mRNA codon recognition, and the 3' end, to which the tRNAs corresponding amino acid is attached (by aminoacyl-tRNA synthetases). tRNAs cope with the degeneracy of the genetic code in two manners: having more than one tRNA (with a specific anti-codon) for a particular amino acid; and 'wobble' base-pairing, i.e. permitting non-standard base-pairing at the 3rd anti-codon position. The record is from Rfam by way of RNAcentral. Lineage: Eukaryota; Metazoa; Chordata; Mammalia; Carnivora; Felidae.